GAACAGUCCGUCCUGCAGUCAAGUCUCUUCAUGUGAGCUCUCUGCCGAUCUCGUUUCCUGGGGGAUCCUGACCAACUUCCUGGUUCGAACCGAUUUCUCAAAGGAAGUAAAUUUCACACUGUCAGCCCUGUUGCUCUUCUAGUUUGUUCCUGACUCUUGCCUUUUCCCUAUGGGAGAGAUCAUCUCUGUGCACAUUGGCAAUCCCAAAAGAUGGCAGAGAAAAGGGGAAGCAGCGAGUGCUGGGCACGAAAGCAUUUGAAGGAUCCUGGCCCACAGCUCCCAAGGUGUGGCAGAGGCAAAGCAGGAACCGCGCUGAUGGCCAAAGUGGGGAGACGUAAGAAGACAGUGCCAUCCCGCAGAUGUAAGUGUUCAGCAUGCCAUCUGAAGGAUUUACCACAGAGACAAAAAGCAAAGAAGUUAUGCCAGAAAAAGAACGAGAAGACAAGUCAGCAGCAUAUGUCAAUGCCCUGGUCGAAGAUGCUGCUUGAAUCCCCGUGGUUCCGUGUCAUGACUUCUCCCAUGACCAGUGAGAAGAAAAGCCUCUUUCCAUGCAGGCCCAAGACCACCAUAAUCAUCAUUGAUCAUUCCCCUGUGCUCUAGGUCUCUAAAUAAAA
Long non-coding RNA from Rhinolophus ferrumequinum (greater horseshoe bat), 614 nucleotides. RefSeq lists it as uncharacterized. The record is from RefSeq and is a predicted model, not a curated record. The transcript is spliced from 3 exons. Lineage: Eukaryota; Metazoa; Chordata; Mammalia; Chiroptera; Rhinolophidae.